This 497-nucleotide ribosomal RNA is filed under the name uncultured bacterium. Its description in RNAcentral is "partial 16S ribosomal RNA". It matches the Rfam family "Bacterial small subunit ribosomal RNA", at positions 28 to 507 of the family's 1533-position model. The record is from RNAcentral.
GAUGAACGCUGGCGGCGUGCCUAAUACAUGCAAGUCGAGCGAACAGAUAAGGAGCUUGCUCCUUUGACGUUAGCGGCGGACGGGUGAGUAACACGUGGGUAACCUACCUAUAAGACUGGAAUAACUCCGGGAAACCGGGGCUAAUGCCGGAUAACAUAUAGAACCGCAUGGUUCUAAAGUGAAAGAUGGUUUUGCUGUCACUUAUAGAUGGACCCGCACCGUAUUAGCUAGUUGGUAAGGUAACGGCUUACCAAGGCAACGAUCCGUAGCCGACCUGAGAGGGUGAUCGGCCACACUGGAACUGAGACCCGGUCCAGACUCCUACGGGAGGCAGCAGUAGGGAAUCUUCCGCAAUGGGCGAAAGCCUGACGGAGCAACGCCGCGUGAGUGAUGAAGGUCUUCGGAUCGUAAAACUCUGUUAUUAGGGAAGAACAAAUGUGUAAGUAACUAUGCACGUCUUGACGGUACCUAAUCAGAAAGCCACGGCUAACUACGUG